UGCAGUCGACGGGCUCUUCGGAGCAAGUGGCGGACGGGUGAGUAACGCGUGAGAAUGUGCCUUCAGGAUGGGGAUAACAAUAGGAAACUAAUGCUAAGACCCAAUGUGCCUUAAGAGGUGAAAAAUGAAAAUUGCCUGAAGAGGAGCUCGCGUCUGAUUAGCUAGUUGGGGUGGUAAAAGCGCACCAAGGCAACGAUCAGUAGCUGGUCUGAGAGGAUGAGCAGCCACACUGGGACUGAGACACGGCCCAGACUCCUACGGGAAGCAGCAGUGGGGAAUUUUCCGCAAUGGGCGAAAGCCUGACGGAGCAAUACCGCGUGAGGGAGGAAGGCUCUUGGGUUGUAAACCUCAAAACUUAGGGAAGAAAAAAAUGACGGUACCUAAUCUAAGCAUCGGCUAACUCCGUGCCAGCAGCCGCGGUAAUACG
This 427-nucleotide ribosomal RNA is filed under the name uncultured organism. RNAcentral describes it as "bacterial SSU rRNA". It matches the Rfam family "Bacterial small subunit ribosomal RNA", at positions 56 to 527 of the family's 1533-position model. The record is from RNAcentral.